This 72-nucleotide transfer RNA is filed under the name Endocronartium harknessii PhW48OC. RNAcentral describes it as "tRNA-Ser (GGA) (tRNA-Ser-GGA-3-1)". It matches the Rfam family "tRNA". Rfam says of the family: Transfer RNA (tRNA) molecules are approximately 80 nucleotides in length. Their secondary structure includes four short double-helical elements and three loops (D, anti-codon, and T loops). Further hydrogen bonds mediate the characteristic L-shaped molecular structure. tRNAs have two regions of fundamental functional importance: the anti-codon, which is responsible for specific mRNA codon recognition, and the 3' end, to which the tRNAs corresponding amino acid is attached (by aminoacyl-tRNA synthetases). tRNAs cope with the degeneracy of the genetic code in two manners: having more than one tRNA (with a specific anti-codon) for a particular amino acid; and 'wobble' base-pairing, i.e. permitting non-standard base-pairing at the 3rd anti-codon position. Lineage: Eukaryota; Fungi; Basidiomycota; Pucciniomycetes; Pucciniales; Coleosporiaceae. The record is from RNAcentral.
GUGUGUAUAGCUCAGUAGUUAGAGCAUCCCUCUGGAAUGAGGUGGUAAUGGGUUUGAAUCCCAUUGCACACA